AACUUCUUUUGUGGUGUUUGAUUCAAUAUUUUUUGCCAUGUUAUUUUGCUAAAGGAAAAAAAGUGAAAAAUACAUGUUGGCAAAGCCAUGGAAAUUAGACAUUAUGACUACUUGGUUCAUGAUAGUUGGCAUGUGUAAAUUGGUGGAAAGAGCAAUAUGAACUGGCAAUGGAUUAACAUAAAGCUUUAUUACAUAUGUGAGUGGACAUAGUUACUAGAGCUUGUCGGGCAGUAAGAGUGCUUAGUUUGACAUUUUGUUUUGGUCUCCUUAAUUAAUAACAUGAAUUGGAAUUAAUUUAAAUUGCAUGGAUUUGUUUGAUUUCUAGCUUUUUCACGACUAUGUUCCUUCUGAUGCA
RNAcentral lists this unclassified non-coding RNA (355 nucleotides) under Hevea brasiliensis (rubber tree). Lineage: Eukaryota; Viridiplantae; Streptophyta; Magnoliopsida; Malpighiales; Euphorbiaceae. The record is from RNAcentral.